This is a long non-coding RNA of Symphalangus syndactylus (siamang), 768 nucleotides long. RefSeq lists it as uncharacterized. The record is from RefSeq and is a predicted model, not a curated record. NCBI's taxonomy places the organism in Eukaryota, Metazoa, Chordata, Mammalia, Primates, Hylobatidae.
AAUACUUUGGGAGGCCGAGGCAGGUGGAUCGCUUGAGACCAGGAGUUCCAGACCAGCCUGGACAACAUGGCAAAACCCUGUCUCUACUAAAAAUACAAUAAAUUAGCCAGGCAUGGUGGCACAUGCCUGUAGUCCCAGCUACUCAGGAGGCUGAAGUGGGAGGAUCAACUGAGCCAGGGAAGUCGAGGCUGCUGUGAGCUGUAAUGGCAGCACUGCACUCCAGCCUGGGCAACAAGAAUAAGACCCAGUCUCAAAAAAAGAGAAGCCAAUUCAUUAACUUGAAAAUAGGCAAAAAAAUGGGAAAGAAUCAAACAUUCAUCUUGCCUGCCCUAUACAAACUAUAUCUUGCAGCAUAAGUCACAAAGACACAUUAUGUCCCUCAUGAGGAAAGAUCACAAUACCACCUGUAGUAUUGCCAAAGGGACCCAGUGUGAAUCUGACUGAGCUUACGGAUUCAGCUGCUAAAAUGAAGGAAAAACAUAAGACAAUUAACAAGUUGAACUGUGCCAUAAGUAAGCCAUCAGCAAAAUCCAAGACUGUGUGAAAUUCUACAAGUCAAACUUCUUGGGCUCUUCAUCAUGAAACUGUCGGGUGCAGGGGCUCAUGCCUGUAAUCCUAACACUGACACAGGAACCCAGGAGUUCCAGGUUGCAAAUGAGCUAUGACCGUGCCACUGCACUCCAGCUGGAGGAGACAGAGUGAGACCCUAUCUCUAAAAAAUAAUAAUAAUAAUGAUAAUAAUGUAGUAAUAAUAAUAGUUCUCUCCUU